This 497-nucleotide ribosomal RNA is filed under the name uncultured bacterium. RNAcentral's name for it is "bacterial SSU rRNA". It matches the Rfam family "Bacterial small subunit ribosomal RNA", at positions 29 to 521 of the family's 1533-position model. The record is from RNAcentral.
AUUGAACGCUGGCGGCAUGCGUAACACAUGCAAGUCGAACGGUGUUUGGUGCUUGCACCAGACAUAGUGGCGGACGGGUGAGUAAUGCGUAGGAAUCUGUCUUAGAGAGGGGGACAACCCGAGGAAACUUGGGCUAAAACCGCAUAUUCUCGAGAGAGGAAAGCAGGGGACCGGAAACGGCCUUGUGCUCUAAGGUGAGCCUACGUCGGAUUAGCUAGUUGGUAGGGUAAAAGCCUACCAAGGCGAUGAUCUGUAGCUGGUCUGAGAGGACGGACAGCCACACUGGGACUGAGACACGGCCCAGACUCCUACGGGAGGCAGCAGUGGGGAAUAUUGGACAAUGGGGGAACCCUGAUCCAGCGAUGCCGCGUGUGUGAAGAAGGCCUGCGGGUUGUAAAGCACUUUCAGUGGGAAAGAGAAGCGUCUUGUGAAUAAUGGGACGUGGAGACGUUACUCACAGAAGAAGCACCGGCUAACUCUGUGCCAGCAGCCGCGGU